GAUGAACGCUGGCGGCGUGCCUAAUACAUGCAAGUCGAGCGAACAGACGAGGAGCUUGCUCCUCUGACGUUAGCGGCGGACGGGUGAGUAACACGUGGAUAGCCUACCUAUAAGACUGGGAUAACUUCGGGAAACCGGAGCUAAUACCGGAUAAUAUAUUGAACCGCAUGGUUCAAUCGUGAAAGACGGUUUUGCUGUCACUUAUAGAUUGAUCCGCGCCGCAUUAGCUAGUUGGUAAGGUAAUGGGUUACCAAGGCAACGAUGCGUAGCCGACCUGAGAGGGUGAUCGGCCACACUGGAAGUGAGACACGGCCCAGACACCGACGGGAGGCAGCAGUAGGGAAUCUUCCGCGAUGGGCGAAAGCCUGACGGAGCAACGCCGCGUGAGUGAUGAAGGUGUUCGGAUCGUAGAACUCUGUUAGUAGGGAAGAACAAAUGUGUAAGUAACUAUGCACGUCUUGACGGUACCUAAUCAGAAAGCCACGGCUAACUACGUG
RNAcentral lists this ribosomal RNA (497 nucleotides) under uncultured bacterium. RNAcentral describes it as "partial 16S ribosomal RNA". It matches the Rfam family "Bacterial small subunit ribosomal RNA", at positions 28 to 507 of the family's 1533-position model. The record is from RNAcentral.